CAAAAGAACAUUAUAUCAAGCUGGUGUUCUAAAGUUGUAUGGUAAUUUUAGGCUUAAAAAAAAUGUUGGAAAUUCAAUUAUAUCAUUUGUGUUCUAUAACUGAACUUGUUAUCAAUAAGAUAUGUACAGUUCCAUGUUACUUUCUACUCUAAGAUACAAUUUAUGUAUUUUUAAGUUAAUAAGAGCCUAAUCUGUGUGAAGGUUUUAUUGCAAAACACAAAAGUACAUUACUACUUUUCUACAAGAGGUUAAAAGCUUUCAGCCUUUAAUUCAUAUUUUAGGUGUGAUAUUAUGUUGUGUUAGCUAAUGUUCAUGUAAACUUGAACAACAAUUUAUGUAAACUUUGUAAAAUGAUCAGCUUCAGAACUAUAGUACUUGAGAUUUAUAAAGAGCCCUGCCUUACUUGAGAUAAGGCUCUGUCCCAUCUCACUACAUGUGAAAAUGGCUAUGAAAAAAAGUAAGCCAGAUUUCAGUACAGUUAAAGUUGUGUCCAAAAGUAGGUUUUUGCCAAGAUUACUAGGAUCUCAAACAGGAAAUUAUGAUGUAUAACCCUGCCAGAAUUCAAGGUAGCUAUUAUAUAAGCUAAAUAUGUUUUUACCCUAGUUAGUUUUGUUUUGUAGUUUGCUUAUAGAUGGUUUAAGGAUUGCCUAUUAAUAUUCUAAAGAGGUAUUGCUUUAAGAACACAACCUGGGUCAACAUAAGAUAAAGAGUUAUCACCUACAGGAUAGAGAGAUAGACAUUAAAGCCCAGUGCUCUUAAUAUAAGGCUGUUAACUUAUUUGCUGGAUGUUUAAGAUCAAGUUUUUAAAAUUAGUUAAAUUAAAAGGGCCAAGAAAACCAAUAUUUGGCUCUUGCCCUCUGAGUCAGUCUGAAUCAGGGAAUAGGGGACUUCUCCAAAGGGCUCAGCAACUCUAGGCCACAUAACCUCCUGAGCAGGGAGAUUAAUGAGACCAGUGGAGGACAGAAAGCCAAAUGGUGCAUUUGCUGUAAAGAGGAGGGUCAUUAAAAAAGGGAGACAUCCCUGAUGCUUCUGAGGGAAGCCAUAUGGUCAAACAAGGCCUGGACCCAUCCUAGCGCAAAUGGCACUAGCAGAACUGAAAAGCUGCUAUGAAGUUCCCGAGGACUCCCAGGAUAACUCAGCUGACUGUAAACAAUAGGUAGAAACAAAAGUCAGUUUGACUUGCUUCAUCUUAAACACUUAGCAAAGACAGUCAAAGCCAAAGCACAGCUGUUCCUGGACAUCUUAAAUGAUAAUAAUAAUUAAAUGUAACUUCCAUAAAUAAAUAGACUGGAGGCUACAAGAGAGAUUCUUAGACAGAAAUGCCUGAUAACUGUCAAAGGAACUACUAGAAUAGUUUUAGUCUAAGGCUUUUAUUUCUAGACAACACAGGUAGACUUGAUGUUUGCUAAUAUGGUUAUCCAGCCCUAAGUAGCAGAAUUAAAGAUUUCUCUAUUAGACACAGAGGAGAAACAAAAGGUUCUUUUGGAAGCUCGCAAAAAUGUGCCAGGGGACGACGGGCGCCCCACCCAACUCACAAAUUUGAUUAACGAAGCUUUUCCUUUAACCCGGCCAAACUGGGACUAUGCGACUGAAGCAGACUCAUUUGCAUGCUUUGCAAUUGGUCCAGAACGAGGUCUGGAAGCCUCUAGCCGCAGCAUACAAAGAGGAACUUAAAACCCCCUUGCUGCCACAUCCCUUCAAGGUCGGAGAUACCGUCUGGGUACGCAGGCACCAGAGCAGGAACCUCGAACCGCGGUGGAAAGGACCCUACACUAUCCUGCUGACCACUCCUACUGCACUCAAAGUGGACGGCAUCGCUGCUUAGAUCCAUGCUUCCCACGUGAAGACUGCACAUCCACAGGAGUCCGCAGACACCUCUCCGGAUCCAGAAUGGAAGUUGCAACGUACCCAAAAUCCGCUAAAGAUAAGACUCACUCGCUGUUGAUUUUUCUUGCUUUGUGCUGUGUCUUCCCCAUAUCAGUUAACCCCAACCAAUCUGUGAGCCAGACAUGACAAGUAUUAUCGGGGACAAGAAAUAUAAUUUAAAAAAAAAAAAAAAGAAAAUCCGCAAAAUACCCCCUUUGGGCUUGAUGGCCUACCCUAGGGCCUGAAAACUAAGUCGCAGGCACAAAAAUGUGGACAACAUGAAAGUUACUAUUGUAAGUCUUGGGGAUAUAAAACUACGGGGGAUGCAUAGUAGAAGCCAAGCUCAUCUUAGGAUUUAAUUCAAAUAAAAAAAAAAAAAAAAAACAGGAUCCCCCACUUUCUGCCGACUCUUGCAGGAGCCUGAAAUGGUACGGGGCAGGGCCAUGUACCGCAUUUGCCUGCAACCCCUUAAACAUUACCUUUACUCAGGCAGGCAAAGCAUCAAAAGAUUAGAUAAAAGGAAAACAAUGGGGCCUGAGAGUAUAUCAUAAAACUGCCUAUGACCCUGGGGUCCUAUUCAAAAUUAGAUUAAUAGUAAAUACCAACCCCCAACCAGUAUGCUGAGCCGUCAGCUGAAAUAAUGCUGGAAUCCGAGCAGAUGGGUCAAUGGAUAUAAGAUUAUAUCCAUGAUAUAAAAAAAGGGGGGAAUGAAGGACCCCAAGGCCCCAGGCCCAACAUUAGGAAAACUAACCCCUGUGCCCUGAAGCUGCAAGAUGUUCCCUUACCCAACCCCCAUGUCAAAACCCCACCAGCUGCACGUAGCACUUCAAGUCUCGCACAAUGUUACCACAAGAUGUUCCAUAUAGAUAACCCCGGAAGGGCCAAACUUGAGCAAACAGGGUAAAAACAGGAACUAAAAGGACAGGAUGCAAUUUUAUGGUUUUUCUGAGAACUAAAGUGGGAAAACAAGUUUACCCCCCUAGGUGACUCAACUGCUGAAUUCAGAGGGACCAAUAGGAAGGCUGUUGCUGUGCUAAGCUAAGACCUAACCCACCUGUUCCCUAUAAAAGAUCUAUACCCCAAAGCCCGGUGUGCCAGUUCACCGAAGCUCCGGCUGAGGUUUUGCUGUGCACCCGCAGGCGCCUGUGUGAGAAUAAACGCCUCCUGCUUUUUGCA
This is a long non-coding RNA of Marmota monax (woodchuck), 3042 nucleotides long. RefSeq lists it as uncharacterized. The record is from RefSeq and is a predicted model, not a curated record. The transcript has 2 exons. Lineage: Eukaryota; Metazoa; Chordata; Mammalia; Rodentia; Sciuridae.